RNAcentral lists this small RNA (78 nucleotides) under Salmonella bongori. RNAcentral's name for it is "Salmonella enterica sRNA STnc40". It matches the Rfam family "Salmonella enterica sRNA STnc40". Lineage: Bacteria; Pseudomonadati; Pseudomonadota; Gammaproteobacteria; Enterobacterales; Enterobacteriaceae. The record is from RNAcentral.
CAGUGCCACGGUCGCCUGAACUAACGUUGGCCUGGCAUUAAGCACAGAUAAAAAGGCGCAGGCGACUGCGCUUUUUUU